Long non-coding RNA from Pteronotus mesoamericanus, 349 nucleotides. RefSeq lists it as uncharacterized. The transcript has 3 exons. The record is from RefSeq and is a predicted model, not a curated record. NCBI's taxonomy places the organism in Eukaryota, Metazoa, Chordata, Mammalia, Chiroptera, Mormoopidae.
CUCCCAGCCCGAAUUCUGCAAUAGAAUCUCUUCCUUCCAGAAGAAGCUUUCUCGGGGUCCCAGCCCCCAGCCCUCUGCAGCCCUCUGGAGUGCCGGGGUGACAGCAGCUCCCAUGCAGGGGCAGGACCACCCCUGUUUGCACUUGUCAGCCCUUGGGACCCCCUAGACCUUUGAAUUCUGCUUCAGUAACCUUACUCCCCAGAAGUAUUCUCACCAGUGUCCAAAGAGGCAUGUUUAAAUGUUCAUCAAUAAAGGAAAAGUGAAAUCAAUGUUAAAAGGAGCAAGUUAAAGAGUGAUCGGCCCUGGCUGGUGUGACUCCAUGGAUUGAGUGCCGGCCUGCAAACCAAAU